AGUGAACGCUGGCGGUAGGCCUAACACAUGCAAGUCGAACGGCAGCACAGUAAGAGCUUGCUCUUACGGGUGGCGAGUGGCGGACGGGUGAGGAAUACAUCGGAAUCUACUUUUUCGUGGGGGAUAACGUAGGGAAACUUACGCUAAUACCGCAUACGACCUACGGGUGAAAGCAGGGGAUCUUCGGACCUUGCGCGAUUGAAUGAGCCGAUGUCGGAUUAGCUAGUUGGCGGGGUAAAGGCCCACCAAGGCGACGAUCCGUAGCUGGUCUGAGAGGAUGAUCAGCCACACUGGAACUGAGACACGGUCCAGACUCCUACGGGAGGCAGCAGUGGGGAAUAUUGGACAGUGGGCGCAAGCCUGAUCCAGCCAUACCGCGUGGGUGAAGAAGGCCUUCGGGUUGUAAAGCCCUUUUGUUGGGCAAGAAAAGCAGCAGGUUAAUACCCCGCUGUUCUGACGGUACCCAAAGAAUAAGCACCGGCUAACUUCGU
This 491-nucleotide ribosomal RNA is filed under the name uncultured bacterium. RNAcentral's name for it is "partial 16S ribosomal RNA". It matches the Rfam family "Bacterial small subunit ribosomal RNA", at positions 29 to 506 of the family's 1533-position model. The record is from RNAcentral.